UUUUGGAGUUGAGGGAAAAGAGUACAAUUCAACAAUAUAAAGAUUGAUUGUGAGCUAAUGAGAUAGACAAGACAACCGAUCAUUUAUUAAAUAUCCUUUCAUGCUAGAAACAAACGUAUUAUACACACAAACAGCACACAAAUCACGGUAGUACCGUGGUUACAAACGUGGGUCCGAGUUCGAGUCCUGCUCUGGAGUGACCAGUCCUGUGAGAUGGAGAAAUGAGUUCUAUGUAUAGUUGGCUACAUUCUAUACCUGGAAAUUUCUCCAAAACUGCUU
Non-coding RNA from Vicugna pacos (alpaca), 279 nucleotides. The record is from RefSeq and is a predicted model, not a curated record. NCBI's taxonomy places the organism in Eukaryota, Metazoa, Chordata, Mammalia, Artiodactyla, Camelidae.